Molecule: long non-coding RNA, 13714 nt
Filed under: Solanum tuberosum (potato)
Lineage: Eukaryota; Viridiplantae; Streptophyta; Magnoliopsida; Solanales; Solanaceae
Description: long non-coding RNA (STUB_LNC011251)
Source: RNAcentral
UCACUUGUGGAAUUUCACUGGGUAUGUUGUUGUUGUAUACUACUAUGUUGAUUCAUUAAUUUUUCAUAAUUGUAGUUCGCAUGACCGCUAGAAGCUACAACUUGCUGAGUCAAAUAUGUGGCAAAUUUUAUUAGCAAAUAUGAACACACAUACGUAUUUGCACUAACGUUAUAGCUAUCCAUCAUGACUAAACAAGUAAACUACACAAAUGUUACCUAUGUCCCGUUGAGGCAAUUUUUGUGCACAAUGGGCCAAAUAUAAGCGGCAAUAAAACGAUGCUAGUGGAUCUGCAAUGCCUCUUGCCAUCAUAACCAGUCGUGGAAGAUUAUUGGCAGGUUGUUCCGAAAGGAAACGCCAGCAAUGGCAUAUGGCCAGCUCCAAGUAUCUGUUCACAAGAGUAUUUGUCAAACAGAAGACCAACAGAAAUAUAAACUCGUGAACAGUUUUUCAAUUUUAAGAAAGAAAAGAAAUGAAAAAGGUGAUUUCGGUUUUCUCCCUGCAAUGAUAUCUUGUAUAGGUUGCAGACACUUCGCUUUUCUAAAGAAAAAGAGAAGAAGAGAUCUGAUAAUUGAUUACUCAAUCAAGCAUGUUGGUAUUUAAAUAGUUUUACAAAUAAAACUUAAAAGGAAGAAAGAAAUUUUGAGUUCUAAUUACACAAUCAUAGGGAUUCUAAAACCUUUUGCAUAUUUAUAAUGGGCUCUUGACAUACUAACAAUAUUUAAUUCUUAAUAACUGCCAGAAACUGCUCAGCUGAUAUGGAACAUGAGCACGAAACUACAAAUACCAGAGGUGGAAUUCUCAUUGAAAACUUCAAAUCAUUUCAGUCUAGAGGAGGAGGCAGAAUCUACCUUACUUUUAUGAUUAUGAUGAAAGCAGUUGCAUAGAAAAGCCACAUGGCAAUGUAUCCUAGAUAAUUUAAAAUUCACCAUGCUAUCACAAUACAGAGAUAAUCUACAGCUUGCAUUCUAACAAUUUUUCACUAGUGAACCGAGAUCAUCACUUUUGGAAAAAUUCAAAGAUCAUUCCUUAAAUAUGUCAAUUUCCAAUAACUCUAUAAUGCUUCCAAAUCCAUUCCAGCAUCUCACCUAACGACAUUAUGUUAAUAAAUAAUAGACACCUUAAGAUAAAUUAAAGUAAAAAAAAGAAGCAGAAUCACGAGUUAUAAAGACACAGGCUAGGAAUUGCAAGAACUGAGGACCUCACAUGCGUGGCAGUAGCUCGCGGAUGGAACCAACUUUGCAAAACCAGUUAUAGCAGGUUUCUUUGGCUUCAGCACAGAUUUCAGUUGCUUGAAAGUUACCUGUUACAGAUCAAGUGCAUCUUUUAGUAAGAAAUGGGACUCAGAAACCAGAACAGUUACAUCAAGGAUAUCAGAAUACUGAAAACAAAGAAGAAACAAAAUUUGGAAAGAUAUCUUAGAGAUUGGUAUACUAAAGACAUUGAAACCUUGUCCUUCAACUUAAAAAUAAAAUUUUACUAAUGAAAAAAAAAUCCGCGCAAUUCUGAUUUGGAAUGUUAACAACACCACAAUUAACUUAUCCAGCAUCGCUUCACCAUAUAACCAUCCUCUUUGACUAUGAUUAAUUAUAAUGAGAAUUGGAGAUCCUUAAGGUGCCAAUGUCAGGCUUAGCAAUAAGACAAAUUUCAUAACUUGUUACCGAGAUAUCUACUAUUCUAACCGUGGGCCUAAGGAUUCUACAGUCUUCCAUUACAAUAAACAGUGGCAGACUGCUCUAAGUCAUCCAAACAAAAUCAAUUAGAAAAUCUUACAAAUUAUUUCCAAGUUGAUUUAUACACAAGGAUGAUGACAAACUUAUUUUACACAAACAGUACAUUAGAGACUAAAUUUGAGUCACAGUAAAAGCACAUAUGACAGCAGUGGACACCGGAUACUGGUAACUAGGUGCCAGUUGGCCACGAGGAAGCAGAGCUAGAGGUAAAUGUGAGGGAUAUACCUGGUAAAUGGACUAAUGUCCCAUCUUCAGUAUAUUCAGCUUUCUGCCUGAUGCGUUCCCAUACCAUAUCCCCUAACAUAUCUAGUAUUUCUGUAGCUAGAACAAAAAGUGUUGGAUACAAUUGUAGUACAGAUGUGUCCGACAGUAACUUAGCAACCUAUUCAAGAGAAAUCAAGACACAUUUAGCUAAGAAAUGAAAGUAGAAUUGCCAACAGGCCACGUGAUGUUAUAGAAGAGUCUUAAGUUAUUAUAUCUGUGGUUCCAUUAGACCAGUUAACUAAUUUGAUCCUUCAUAUUUUUAUUAUUUGUUUUACUGUUGAAAUCAAUGAGAAGAGAAGAAACGUAUACUGUUAAAUGAUUUAUAAGAAAGCAAUUCAAUCAUGUUCUUUUUACUGUUUAUUUUUCUUGAAAUUAUGUUGAUCUAUCAGAUUAUCAGGUUAAAGUGUGUUGUACCUUAACAGAUGAAUUCAUCUUUUCAGUAACAAGUGUCAUCAGUUGGAAGCAGAAAAUAAGGGAAUAGUCUGCAAUGUUUGUCUCAAAUCAAUGUGGAGAUAGAACUAAAUUGGACUUAUUGUUGAUUGAUGCUAUAUGUUUGAACUAGGGAUGAGCAUUCAGUCGGUUGUUUGGUUUAUAGAAGUUGGUUCGGUAUUUCGGUUUAUGGUUUGGUAAAAGUGAAAAAAUCAAUCUGAAAUUAGUUCGGUUUGUUCUUUUAUAUUUAUUUUGGUUCGGAUUUUGGGUUUGGGCUUUAUCAUGCUAGCCUUUUUCAAAUCUUCUCCUGACUGGUCAUUCAAUUCAUCAGAACUUGUGGUAGCAUAAAACCGUAACUUUUGCUUCCUACCAAUGUAGUUUUGUCAGAUAACAUUGUUCAUGUAACAUAACAUAUUGGGAAAUACUUCUACACUUGAUACUUGAUAGUUCAAAACUGACAUUAAUAUUGCACCACAACUCAUCUUUUCCUUAUUCUGAAAAGCCUAUAGACAAACACUGGAGGGAAGAUAUGAAAAUUUGAAAAGAAACAAAGUGAAGAUAUGAAAACACAGAAAAUUAAGAAUUAAAAUCCCCGUUCUUAAUUUAUGGCUCACAAUGACUCAAUGAAUGUAAAGGAAAUAAAUCAGCAAACAAAUAACAUAAAGAAACAAUUAAAUUAUUUUCCUUAAACUUCCUCUAUUGGCACACUUGUCGAAUGUUUUCUCAGAUUUUGAAGAAUGAAAUAAUUUCUUUCAGUUAUCCUUCCAAUCCUUUACAAUAUCCCUUCUUCCCUUUGGAUUCAUGCCAAUUUCUCACACUAUUAAAUCACAAUGGUUGAGCACGUUACUUACAAGUACAAAUUUCGAUUUUUCAGUUUGACCGAUUUUAUUUCCUUAAGAAUGAAAACCGAACCGAAUAACUGAAAUUUUAAAAAAUUAAAACUAAAAAAAUAAAAUAUUCUGUUCAGAGGGUUUUUUGGCUUGAAAAAGCCCAUCCCUAGCAAACUUGAAACGGACGGGUACUUAAUUAAAACUGAAGUCAGCCAAGUAUUACUAAAUAGCAAACUUGAAAGUUGAAACUGACUUUUUGAACAAAUACCAAAUAAAUUUUUAAAUGGACGGAUACUUAUCCAAAAACACUGAUCACUUGAUCAGGAAUAACCUGAGUGAACUUGACUGAGCUAUGACCCAAUAUUAAAUACUCCAUUUGUUUCAAUUUGUUCGCCUUACUUUCCUUUUUGGUCUAUUUAAAAAAACUGUCUCUUUCUUAAUUUGACAACUCUUUAAUUUCAGAAUUUCACAUGGCAUAUAUAAGGCCACAAGAUUCAAAAGUCUUUUUUUAUUUUCUUUAACUCUAUGCCGAGUCAAACUAAGACAAACAUAUUGAAAGGGAGAGAGCAGCAAGUUUGAAAUUGACUUACUGUAUGAAUACCAAAUAAAAUUGUUAAAUUGAGAGGUACAUAUCCAAAAAGAACGAUCACUUGAUUGGAAAGUUCAGAAUCCAGCAAGAAGCAAAUGUGACACAGUUUAGAACAAAAACUACCUUGAUUGACAAAUUAAAGGAGGUUACGCGGUCACUUGCAUGCCAGGCACGACUAAUUUCAUCUUUAAGUUCAGUUAAGCGUGAGACAUACUCCUGCAGGGUGAUAUAUUUAACACCUUCUUCAGCAAAUCUCUGAGGAUCAUCUAGCUCCUCUAGAUGUACAUUUGCUGAGGGUUUCUCAGGGCCUACAAUAUUUUAUCAUCAUAGCAAUUAUUGCCGAUUAAAUAAAAUAGUUAGUCUACCAUAUCAAACAAGUUCAAAUGAUACCCCCUUUACAUUUUUCUUAGCUGCAUUAGAAAAUAAAAGGAUGAGAGAACUUUAAAAGUCCAUGAAAAUAAAGAAAAAAGCUUUAUAAUCACUUCUUUUGUCCUGUUUUAUAUGAAAAAUCUUUGAUUGAGCCACACAGAUUAGGAACCAGAUGACUUAAUAUUGAUUUUGCACAGGUAGAAAACAUUUGAAGUAGAUUUGGAUUAGGUAUGCAAGUCAUUUUUAAAUGAAAUAAUGUAUUGCAAGCUUAAAUCAAAAUGUUUUAAACCUUGUAAAAUGUAGAAUAUUAUUGGGUGACAACAUAUGUAAUUAAUUUGGGACACUUCAAACUAAAUAAUGAGCCACAUAAAGAAAAUAUAGUGAGGAUAUAUCAUACCCUUGCCUGUCUUCAUAAUUGAGCUUGACAGCUGUAAGGAGCAAUAAAAAAGGUCAUACAGAAACCCAGAACAGUAUUAAAACUGAACACAAUAAAACACUGAUUAAAAUUUUGUAAUUUUUUUUGUUGACACCCUAAUUUUUCUUCUUCUUAACUUUUUCCUUCUCUUUUCUGUUGUUCAUUUUAAGCAAAAAAGCUUCUGACUUGAUCCAAAAGGUAGACAAUGACAAUAUAUUAAUCUUAAGAUGAAAAUAUAUUAAUCUUAAGGUAAAAAAACCAAGAAAUUCACCACCAUUUGCAAUUUGCUGCAGUGUUAAUAGAGUCCACAACCCUCCACCCAAAAAGAAAAACUUAAAAGAGAAGAAGGAAACCAAAGCACUUUGGGACAAAACAAACACAAUUUCAUUAUAAGAUGCAGCUAGCUACUGCAUCAUAAUAAAAGAAUUUCCAUCUAAUCCAUUGAACUUGAACAUAAAUAGAAAUUGAUAGCUAAACCUUAAAACAAAUUUAGGGUGUGCUUGGUAUGAAGGAAAAUAUUUUCCACAGAUUUGUUUUCUUAAACAAUAAGUGAUUUUCUUCCUAUGUGGUGAAACAGCUGAGACUGUUAACCAUAUAUUUUUACGUAACCACUCCUUAUGGUGUUAGCCUCUGGAGGUCCAUCAGAAGCUUGUGGAAUGAAGUUAAAAGUAACUCAAAGGCAAAAGUAAUGGAUGGGAAUAAGACCAGAUUUUGGAAGGACAUUUGGCAUGAGAAAGGCAACAUGGAAGAUCUCUUUCCAGACAUCUACAACCUAAUCAUGUUUCAACAAAGUACUAUAGCAGAUCUUUGGUCACCACAAGGAUGGAAUUUCAUUUUCAGAAGAAACCUUAAUGAUUGGGAAAUAGUGAGAGUUGCUGAAUUCUUAAACACUGUGAACACUUUCACGGGACUACAGCCAGGUGAGGAUAAAUUAUGGUGGACAGGAGAUGACAAGGGAGUGUUCAAAGUCAACAAAUCCUACAAGUUGAUGGAUCAGACAGAUCAACAGUGCUCAAGUUGGCCUUGGAAGCAAAUAUGGAAGAGCAGAAUCCCUCACAAAGUCUCCUUUUUUGUCUGGUCAAUGGCUAAGGAAGCAGUCCUUACACAGGACAAUGUUAUGAAGAGGGGGAGAACCCUGUGUUCUAGGUGCUUCCUAUGUGGUGAAACAUCUGAGACUGUUAACCAUCUAUUUUUACAUUGCAAGUACACCCAUCAUCUGUGGAGAUUAUUCCUAAGCCUCAAAGGCAUCUCCUGGACAAUGCCCAGGAAGGUGGCUGAGGCAUUAUUAUGCUGGGAGGAAGCAGGUGUACAUGCCAAGGAUAGAGGUAGAUGGAGAAUUAUCCCGGGGGCUAUCUGGUGGGCUGUUUGGAAAGAAAGGAAUUCAAGAUGUUUUGAGAGCAUAGAGAACAAUGUGCAGAAAGUUAAACUAAACUGCAUUUUACUUUUAGUCUUUUGGUGUAAUCAGUUAUACUCUAAUGACACUGUCUCUAUUAUUGAUGUGUUAGACUCAAUUUAGACGUAGAGAAGUGAAAUCAGGAGUACUCUUGUAUAUAAGGUUACAGUACGACCCAUGUACUGUUUUGUGAUAUAAUACAAAGUUACCAAGUUCAAAAAAAAACAAUAAGUGAUUUUCUUAGUUAUUUUAUGGUAUUUGGUAAGUAAGCAAAAAGAUAUUGUCCUAAGAGCAUUUCUAUGUAAUCUAGGAAAACACUAUGGGGUGGGAGGGUAGGGGUGAUGGGGGUGGGAUGGUCAAGGGGUUGGGGCGCUGUGGUGAGGAAGAGAAAACGAUCAAUGUCAUUCAUGGAACUUGUUUUUCAUACUCGCUCUAGGGAAGUUAUUUUCCUAUUUAUAAGGAACUUGAUUAACAAAAUAUUUUGAUCAACCAAACAUGAGAAAAUUGAAAAACAUUGGAAAAGGGUUUUCUCCGUACCAAACACACCCUUAUACCUCAAACUAUAAGAAGACCACUGUCAAAGGAUCCACCAAGAUCACCUUUCUUUUGGACAAUUUGUAAGUAGCUCAACAGCAUGUGUGUGAAGAUUAAAGUGGCAUACUAACCGAAGAAAUAGAGAUCAUUUUGGAGACAGGAAAUUUUUGCAUCAAGACUUUCUUGUAAGAUGUCCACUCCUUGCCCAGAAAAUGAAUAGCAAUAUCUCUAUACGGUUCACCUGCGAUUUCAGUAGACGUUCUUCCUAAACCCUUCAUGGAAUCCUCUGGUUUUCCAUGAUUCUCCCUUAAUGGAUCAAAGAACUCGUCCCUGCCAUAAUCCGUACCAUCAACCUACAGACUCAACCAAGUGAUUUUAAAAUUAGGAAAUGACAAAACAUCUGAAUAUGCUAAGAAAAACAGAUCCCGUGAUCAAUCAUAGAUUAAGGUUAUUGACUUAACAAUUGAUGGACCAUGGUGGUAUAUUGGUAUCACCAUUAUAAUCUUUUAAAAUAUUGAAGCACUAACAGCGGGUACAAGUUUAGCUACAUAUAUGGCAUACAUAAUCAUCUGAUUUCUUUUCCUGUGCUGGUUUUCCUCUUUUUCAACUAGCUUUUAAGUCCGUUCUCUUAUAGGAGUAGUUUCUUUUUGUCUUAAGUAUGUCUUCUCUAUUUCUGUUUUUUAAACUGUAGUGUGGGAACCAGCUCGCUAACCUAUUUUAUCGAGUGCAUGCAUCUUCUUACAAGUGUGAGCUCUUCCCACCAAAACUUAGGCAGAAAGGAUUAGGGUCUCCCGUGUGCUUCAUUACUGCACAGGCUUGGGUGCACUUUGUUUGCCCUGAGUCUUAACAUAAGGAGUACGGGAAGUCCAACUAUAACCUGCUCUGGUGAAAUUGCAUUGCCUAUAUCCCAAUAAAGUAGAAAUCAUGUGAACAUGUUGAAAUAUUGAUGUGAAUAGAUGGCUUGUAAGCAUUGGACAUUGUUCCAUUGGGUGUGUCCAUUAAGCUGUUAUUUCUGUUAAGUUGUUAACUCUGUUGUAUUAAGCUUAGCUGGCAGUGAGCUGUCAAAAGGUUAUUAGUCAGUUAGGUUGUUAUUGGGUGAUUAGUGAGUAGAUAUUUUAGGAGUGGUCCACACAUGUAUAUAAGGGUGUAGAUACAGCUGUAAAGAGCAGUUCUGCUCAUUUUCUCAAUACAGAAUUUCCUUUAUCUGCUUCUUCCUCUUCUGAACUCCUCCAUUUAUUAGUUUGUGAGCUUCAAGCUCAAACUUUACCAUGGUAUCAGAGCAGUCAAUGCUGGCUGUGUAGACAAUUGACUGAGACUAGCUCAGAGUUUGUCCGUAUAGCUAGAUCUAUUUUUUGUUUCAGAUAUCGAAGAUUCAUCAAUGGUGGCAAAUAAGAUCGAUCAGAAAGAUCCUCUCUACAUAGGUCCCUCAGAUGCUUCAAGCAGGGCUAAUCCCUAUCAAACUAACUGAAUCUGAGAAUUAUGGAGUGAGGAGCAGAUCGAUGAGGAUCUCACUGUUGGGAAAGAGAAUAUGGUUUCGUAACAGGCUCAUGCAUAAGGGGACUGUAUAGAGAUGAAUUACAUGAGCAAUGAGAGACAUGCAAUGCCAUCGUACUGUCUUGACUGAUGAGUACAAUCAGUGAGAAACUUCUUAGCGGAGUUGUAUAUGAUACCAGUGCUUUUGCAGUUUGGGCAGAUUUGAAGGAACGAUUUGACAAAGUAUAUCGAAUGAGAAUUUAUCAGUUGCACAGGGAAAUCACAACUCUCUCACAAGGUACUGAUUCUGUUUCAACCUAUUUCCCAAAAUUGAAAAAUGUAUGGGGUGAAUAUGAUGCUAUUGUACCUUCACCAAGUUGUGGUUGUCCUAAAUCAAAAGACUAUGAAGACCAUCAAUAACAGUUGAGGUUAAUACAAUUUUUAAGUGGAUUGAAUGAAUCAUAUGAACAAGCACGUACACAGAGCUUGUUCAAAGGCGCUACUCCAUCUAUAAACCAGCUUGUGCUAUAAUAAUUGAGGAUGAGAUUCAGCAUUCAGCUUGUUUAGUUACUGUGAAUGAGAAACCAGAUCCAAUAGCUAUGCGAGCCUGUAGAGAUCAAGGAACUCAAAACUAUAAUCAAGGAAAUUCAAACUAUAGAGGAAGAAAGGUGUUUUCACAAUGUGAAUAUUGUCAUUUCACUGGACAUACCAAGGAGAAUUGUUACAAAUUGAUUGGCUACCCUGCUGAUUGGAAACAAAGGAGGAAAAUUGGAAAUGGUAAUGGCUAUCCUAAGGGAACAUCUGGUCAUGGCAAUUCUGUAGGAUGUGGGAACUUUGGAACACAUGGAGGUCAGUCUAGUAAUUCUGGAGGAUAUGAAAACUUUGGACCACAUGGAGGUCAGUCUAGCAACAAUGGCCAACACUCUUUUGCUUAAGCAAAAAACAUUUCUGGAAGCCAUGGUGAUCAUAAUCAGAUUGCUUCAACUAGUCAUGAUGUGAAUAAUGUUUGUGUGGCCAAAGGACAAGUUUCACAGAUGGUGAGUACAAGCAGAUAUUGAAUCUAUUGAGUAAGGAUACAAAGGAGAUUCAAACCAAAUAACAAGCAUCACUACUUGUUUAAUGGUUAAUGAUUUUUCAAAUGACUGGAUAGUAGAUUCUGGUGCUUCUUACCAAGUAGACAUCUGUUGACAGAAGACCAUAGUUUGGCCAAAUCACAGAAGUAUAAGGUGAAUUUUCCCACAGGAGAGAGGAUCUCACACAUUGGUGAGGCAUCUAUGUUUGGAAGGCAAGAAAUUGACUUUUGUACAUAAUUUGUGAAGAUGGAAGAACGCCAUUUUUUCAUUAAUGAUGAUGCAUGUUGUGCUCUUUUUUAUGAAGAUGGGAUGGGGUUGGGAAUUUUUUUUACUUCAAUUUUAUACAAUUUAUUUCUUCUUGAAUUUAAUAUUUAUUCAAUCAAAUUUAUUGCAUUCACUCGCUUUAAAAGUUGUAAUACCACGCACUCCAUCCGAGUUAGCACUACAAGCCACAUAAGUUCGCUCAAUAAUCAGAGGUGUAAAGGUUGAGUUUUAUUGGGUUUUAGUGUCUAAUUGGAAAAGUCAUGAGUAGAAAGGGUUUAGUUGACAAUCCGAGCCAAGUAUAAGGGUCUUAGGCUAUUCCGUCUUUUCCUAAUAGUGCCUCUAGAGCAUCUAAGUCUUUUGAUAUUGUGUAAGAGGGUCUGGAUUACCAUGAUACUUUUUCUCCUAUUGCCAAGAUGGUGACGAUGAGGUGUGUUAUUUCCCCUCCAAAGGUCGAUCUUUAUGUCAAAUGGAUAUUAAUAAUGCCUUCUUAUAAGGUGAUUUGUAUGAAGAAGUAUAUAUGGAGGUAUAUAUGGAGAUGCCCGAGAAUUUUGGCCUGUAGGGGGAGAAGAAGGUUUGCAGAUUGCUCAAGUCCUUAUAUGGCCUCAAGCAGGCUUCCAGACAAUGGAAUAUUAAACUUACAACUACCCUCUUGAAUGCAGAAUUCAUCCAGAGUGUACAUGACUAUCCUUAUUCACUUUGAAAAAGAAGAGGGGAAUGGUGAUCAUCUUGGUGUAUGUUGAUGGUUUACUAAUCAUUGGAAGCAAUGUUCAAAUGAUUCAUGAGGCCAAAGAAGUAGUGCAUCAGCAGUUCAAGUUGAAAGAUUUGGGAGAGCUCAAGAAUUUUUUGGGCAUUCAAGUCCUGAGAUCCAAAGCUGGGGUCAUUCUGUACCAAAGGAAGUACAUAUUAGAGCUCAUUUCGAACAUAGGUCUCACUGGUGCAAAGCCAGUGUCUACUCAUUUAGAAUUCAACUUGAGGUUGACUACCUUAGAGUUUGAUUAAGCUACUGUCAAUAUAGGAGAUGCAGUCUUGAAUGAAAUCACCUCUUAUCAGAGGCUGAUUGCGAAGCUUAUGUAUGCUACCAUCACUAGACCUGAUAUCAGUUAUGCUGUCCAAACUUUCAGUAAGUUUAUGCAACAUCCCAAGAAGUCACACUGGGAGGCUACCACUAGAGUGGUUAGAUAUUUGAAAGGUCCAGUUGGUCAAGGAGUUUGAUUGCAAGCUCAUCCUACUGAAGAAUUGACUUGUAGGUGUGACUCAGAUUGGGCUACGUGGCCCUAAUACAAGAAUAUCAGUAACAGGUUAUGUGGUUAAAUUUGGGAGUUUAUAGUGUCCUGGAAAUCAAAGAAGUGGCAGACUGUUUCCAGAUAUUCAACUGAGGCUGAAUACAGGAGUAUGGCCACAGUUGUGGCAGAGGUGACCUGGUUGUUUUGGUUGUUCACUAAACUAGAUGUUCACAUUCGGAUGCCUGUCACAGUAUUGAGUGAUAGCAAGUCUGCAAUGCAGAUGCCAGAUAGCAGCCAACCUAAUCCUCCAUUAGAGGACUAAGAACAUAGAGAUUGACUGCACUUCAUUCGAGAUAAGAUUAAGGAUGAUUUGGUGGAAAUAGUGUAUGUUCCUACACAGCAACAAAUAGCAGAUUUGUUGACUAAGGGUCUAGGACAAAAACAAUAUCAUCACCUGCUGGGCAAGCUUGGUGUUCUUAACAUAUUACACCCUCAAGCUUGAGGGGAGUGUCGAAAUAUUGAUUUGAACAUGUGGCUUGUAAGCACUGGACAUUGUUCCAUUGGGUGUUUCCAUUAAGCUGUUGAGCUGCUAAUUCUGUUAAGCUGUUAACUCUGUUCUAUUAAGCUUAGCUGCCAAUCAGCUAUCAAAAGAUUAUUAGUCGGUUAGGUUGUUAUUGGGUGAUUAGUGAGUAGAUAAUUUAGGAGUAGUCCACACAUGUAUAUAAAGGGUAUAGAUACAGUUAUAAAGAGCAGCUCUGCUCAUUUUCUCAAUACAAAAUUUCCUUUCUCUUCUUCUUCUUCUUCCUCUUCUGAAUUCCUUCAUUAAUGAGUUUGUGAGCUUCACACUCAGAUUAUAUCAGAACACAAAAAACUUGAAUGCAAUUCUAACUUAUCUACUUCUUAAUAACUUUUUUUUUUAUAAUGAAGCACUGAGAUUUACCUGUAACUAUUUUACUUAAAAUUUUCAUUUUGAAAUUUUACCCACAUUCUAUUUUGGCUAAUCUAUACAGAAAAAUAGAAGAUUUAAUCAUGAUAAUGAGUAGUUUGGCCAUGAAAUUUGAUCCUGGCAUUUGGCCAUGAAUUUUUUACUUUUCUCCAUAGUUCAACUCCGGAAAACGCGUUUCGCCAUAAAUUUUCAACUUGAAGUUAGAAUUUUCUAGAAAUUCAAAAACAACAAAAAGGUGUUUUCACUUCAAAUUACUCACAAAAAAGUCCAAAACAACUCCAAUUUCUAUUCAUGACCAAACACAAAAAAUUUAAAAUUCAUUUUUUUCACUUUGAUAAAAGGAUAAGGGUAUACUUUGAUUUUUAUGAUUAACUUUAACUAAUAUUAUUAAAAUCAGUUUAGAUACUAAUUUGAUACAUUAAAUAUCAAUAUUUUUUGGUACCUCAAUGCAUGUUUUUAUUUGAUGUCAGUUUUGAUAUUGGGUUGACUUCAAUUUAGAUUACAGGUCAUUUAAAGUGUCAAAUACGUAUAAAGUGUUCAUUUAGUGUAUGUAUUGAUAUUGAAGCUUCUACGAAAAAAAUAUUUUAUUGUGGAAAUUGAUAUGUAAAAUGGUAUACCCAUUUCGUUUACUAUGAAAAUGUAGGAUACAAUCAAGUAUCUUAUGAUAAUAAUACACAAUUUCCUAACUUGGUGAACUAAACAAAGUAUGCUGCUCUUUACUAAUGGAUACCAUUUUUAUUCACUUUUCAAACAAUAAUAAAAGAUAUAAUAAUUCAUGGGGUAUCGAAUUUCAUACAGUAAAAUAUUUAUAUACUAAUUUACAUAAUUUUUUUAUACAGUAACACUUAUAAAAGAUAUAAUAAUUUACAAAUUUGUUGGAUAAAAUUCAUACUUAUUUUAUAUAGUAAAAUAUUUAUGUAUACUAAGCUAAACUUACUAAUUGAUACCAAUAUGUUUACACUUUUAAACAUCAAUAAAAAGUAUAGUCCACAAAUUUGUUGAGAUAUCAAAUUUCAUACAAUAAAAUUUUCAUGCAUACUAAACUAAACUUUUAAAUUUUUAUACAUGCUGUAAAAAUUUCUUUAUGAACCAAGAAAGAUGAACAAAUAUCGUUGAGUGUGGGUGAUAUGUGUUUUCUUUGAAAAAUAGUAGAAAGAUAGUGAAGAAUUGAUAAUGAUGUGGAGAGAGAAAAUUUACUGUUGGUUAACAGGGAGAAACGUGUUUAAGAUAAAAAAAAUCCCUUAAUUGUAGUAAUUGAUUAGUAAAUCCAUUUUCUCUUUCUUAAUAAUUAUGCUAACACUUAAUAAAUUAAAAUAUGUUAGGGAUAAGGGUCUGAAAAAUACCCCAACUUUGGUCGGAUUUGCUGUUGCGAUACUAAACUUUCAUGAGGACCUAUUACCUCCCUAGACUAUUUAAUAUCGUAUUUUAAACAUAUAUAUUUGUCCACGUGGACAUAAAAAAUAAUGCAAAAUUAUAAAUAGUAAUGUAUCCACGUGGACACAAAUAUACCUUUAAAAUACACUAUUAAAUAGUUCAGGGAAUAAAAAAUACGGUAUUAAAUAAUCUAGGGAGAUAAUAGGUCCUCAUGUUUAGUAUCGCAACAGCAAAUUCGACCAAAGUUGGGGUAUUUUUCACGCCCUUAUCCCUUUGAUAAACAAAAUCUACUUUUUUUUCUUCAAAUUUUUCACAAGGAAACAUGGUCAAUAACCAACUUAAUUAUUCAAUCAUGAUCAUAUGUAGUUUGUGUUCAUUACUUUGUUUAAAACCCUGAUCAUACUGAAAUUGUUCACCCUAGAUUCCACUUUUUGUACAAUUUAUCACAAAAACUUAAUACUUUACAACAUUCUCCAUUGAUUCAAAUGCAAGCAGUAGGUAAUAAGUUGCUGCGAUUAAUAUAAACGAGGAAGAGAAAAACAAAUUGAACCUGGUCAGACGACGGUGAUUGAGGAGAGAGAGGAUGAGUCUCUGCUGCCACACGAGAGAGGGAGUGAACUUGUUCUUCAGCUUUGUAAUCUCGAUGUCGAAAUUUGAGUUCCAUGAAGAAUCAAAGUGCUGUAUUUGCCAAAUUGUGCAAUUAGCUACACUAUGCUAAGCGGUCCGAUUCGUGCAGAAGAGCAAUCAAAGAACAAAUUCUCAAAGGAAGAAUUUCAUAGAGAAAAGAGUCAAUUUUGGGAAGGAAUAC